CCUACGGGUGGCAGCAGUGAGGAAUAUUGGUCAAUGGGCGUAAGCCUGAACCAGCCAAGUCGCGUGAGGGAUGAAGGUUCUAUGGAUCGUAAACCUCUUUUAUAAGGGAAUAAAGUGCGGGACGUGUCCCGUUUUGUAUGUACCUUAUGAAUAAGGAUCGGCUAACUCCGUGCCAGCAGCCGCGGUAAUACGGCGGAUCCGAGCGUUAUCCAGAUUUAUUGGGUUUAAGGGGUGCGUAGGCGGCCUUUUAAGUCAGCGGGGAAAGUCUGUGGCUCAACCAUAGCAUUGCCGUUGAAACUGGGAGGUUUAAGUAUGUUUGAGGCAGGCGGAAUGCGUGGUGUAGCGGUGAAAUGCUUAGAUUUCACGCAGAACCCCGAUUGCGAAGGCAGCCUGCCAAGCCAUGACUGACGCUGAUGCACGAAAGCGUGGGGAUCAAACAGGAGUAGAUACCCUAGUAGUC
RNAcentral lists this ribosomal RNA (460 nucleotides) under uncultured bacterium. RNAcentral's name for it is "partial 16S ribosomal RNA". It matches the Rfam family "Bacterial small subunit ribosomal RNA", at positions 338 to 795 of the family's 1533-position model. The record is from RNAcentral.